GAUGAAGAACGUAGCGAAAUGCGAUAAGUAAUGUGAAUUGCAUAAUUCAGUGAAUCAUCGAAUCUUUGAACGCACAUUGCGCCCGGUAGUAUUCUGCCGGGCAUGCCUGUUCGAGCGUCAUUUCAACCAUCAAGCCCCAGCGCUUGUGUUGGGGGCCUGCGGCUGCCGCAGCCCCCUAAAAGCAGUGGCGGGCUCGCUAUCACACCGAGUGCAGUAGUUCAUCUUCUCUCCGGUCUUGUGAGGCGGGUUCCGGCCGUGAAACACCCCACUACAUUCAAGGUUGACCUCGGAUCAGGUAGGAAUACCCGCUGAACUUAAGCAUAUCAAUAAGCGGAGGA
RNAcentral lists this unclassified non-coding RNA (338 nucleotides) under soil metagenome. Its description in RNAcentral is "partial contains 5.8S ribosomal RNA, internal transcribed spacer 2, and large subunit ribosomal RNA". The stretch from base 1 to 120 matches the Rfam family "5.8S ribosomal RNA", at positions 35 to 154 of the family's 154-position model. The record is from RNAcentral.